RNAcentral lists this ribosomal RNA (1540 nucleotides) under Escherichia coli. Its description in RNAcentral is "partial 23S ribosomal RNA". It matches the Rfam family "Bacterial large subunit ribosomal RNA", at positions 1273 to 2798 of the family's 2925-position model. The record is from RNAcentral. Lineage: Bacteria; Pseudomonadati; Pseudomonadota; Gammaproteobacteria; Enterobacterales; Enterobacteriaceae.
CUGGAGGUAUCAGAAGUGCGAAUGCUGACAUAAGUAACGAUAAAGCGGGUGAAAAGCCCGCUCGCCGGAAGACCAAGGGUUCCUGUCCAACGUUAAUCGGGGCAGGGUGAGUCGACCCCUAAGGCGAGGCCGAAAGGCGUAGUCGAUGGGAAACAGGUUAAUAUUCCUGUACUUGGUGUUACUGCGAAGGGGGGACGGAGAAGGCUAUGUUGGCCGGGCGACGGUUGUCCCGGUUUAAGCGUGUAGGCUGGUUUUCCAGGCAAAUCCGGAAAAUCAAGGCUGAGGCGUGAUGACGAGGCACUACGGUGCUGAAGCAACAAAUGCCCUGCUUCCAGGAAAAGCCUCUAAGCAUCAGGUAACAUCAAAUCGUACCCCAAACCGACACAGGUGGUCAGGUAGAGAAUACCAAGGCGCUUGAGAGAACUCGGGUGAAGGAACUAGGCAAAAUGGUGCCGUAACUUCGGGAGAAGGCACGCUGAUAUGUAGGUGAAGUCCCUCGCGGAUGGAGCUGAAAUCAGUCGAAGAUACCAGCUGGCUGCAACUGUUUAUUAAAAACACAGCACUGUGCAAACACGAAAGUGGACGUAUACGGUGUGACGCCUGCCCGGUGCCGGAAGGUUAAUUGAUGGGGUCAGCGCAAGCGAAGCUCUUGAUCGAAGCCCCGGUAAACGGCGGCCGUAACUAUAACGGUCCUAAGGUAGCGAAAUUCCUUGUCGGGUAAGUUCCGACCUGCACGAAUGGCGUAAUGAUGGCCAGGCUGUCUCCACCCGAGACUCAGUGAAAUUGAACUCGCUGUGAAGAUGCAGUGUACCCGCGGCAAGACGGAAAGACCCCGUGAACCUUUACUAUAGCUUGACACUGAACAUUGAGCCUUGAUGUGUAGGAUAGGUGGGAGGCUUUGAAGUGUGGACGCCAGUCUGCAUGGAGCCGGCCUUGAAAUACCACCCUUUAAUGUUUGAUGUUCUAACGUGGACCCGUGAUCCGGGUUGCGGACAGUGUCUGGUGGGUAGUUUGACUGGGGCGGUCUCCUCCUAAAGAGUAACGGAGGAGCACGAAGGUUGGCUAAUCCUGGUCGGACAUCAGGAGGUUAGUGCAAUGGCAUAAGCCAGCUUGACUGCGAGCGUGACGGCGCGAGCAGGUGCGAAAGCAGGUCAUAGUGAUCCGGUGGUUCUGAAUGGAAGGGCCAUCGCUCAACGGAUAAAAGGUACUCCGGGGAUAACAGGCUGAUACCGCCCAAGAGUUCAUAUCGACGGCGGUGUUUGGCACCUCGAUGUCGGCUCAUCACAUCCUGGGGCUGAAGUAGGUCCCAAGGGUAUGGCUGUUCGCCAUUUAAAGUGGUACGCGAGCUGGGUUUAGAACGUCGUGAGACAGUUCGGUCCCUAUCUGCCGUGGGCGCUGGAGAACUGAGGGGGGCUGCUCCUAGUACGAGAGGACCGGAGUGGACGCAUCACUGGUGUUCGGGUUGUCAUGCCAAUGGCACUGCCCGGUAGCUAAAUGCGGAAGAGAUAAGUGCUGAAAGCAUCUAAGCACGAAACUUGCC